CAGUAGCCGCGGUAAUACGAAGGGUGCAAGCGUUAAUCGGAAUUACUGGGCGUAAAGCGUGCGCAGGCGGUUAUAUAAGUCAGAUGUGAAAUCCCCGGGCUCAACCUGGGAACUGCAUUUGAGACUGUAUGGCUAGAGUGUGUCAGAGGGGGGUAGAAUUCCACGUGUAGCAGUGAAAUGCGUAGAUAUGUGGAGGAAUACCGAUGGCGAAGGCAGCCCCCUGGGAUAACACUGACGCUCAUGCACGAAAGCGUGGGGAGCAAACAGGAUUAGAUACCCGUGUAGUCCCUGUCUCUUAUAA
Molecule: ribosomal RNA, 301 nt
Filed under: uncultured bacterium
Lineage: Bacteria
Description: partial 16S ribosomal RNA
Rfam family: Bacterial small subunit ribosomal RNA
Source: RNAcentral